GAUGAACGCUGGCGGCGUGCCUAAUACAUGCAAGUCGAGCGAACAGAUGAGGAGCUUGCUCCUCUGACGUUAGCGGCGGACGGGUGAGUAACACGUGGAUACCCUACCUAUAAGACUGGGAUAACUUCGGGAAACCGGAGCUAAUACCGGAUAAUAUAUUGAACCGCAUGGUUCAAUAGUGAAAGACGGUUUUGCUGUCACUUAUAGAUGGAUCCGCGCCGCAUUAGCUAGUUGGUAAGGUAACGGCUUACCAAGGCAACGAUGCGUAGCCGACCUGAGAGGGUGAUCGGCCACACUGGAACUGAGACACGGUCCAGACUCCUACGGGAGGCAGCAGUAGGGAAUCUUCCGCAAUGGGCGAAAGCCUGACGGAGCAACGCCGCGUGAGUGAUGAAGGUCUUCGGAUCGUAAAACUCUGUUAUUAGGGAAGAACAAAUGUGUAAGAAACUAUGCACGUCUUGACGGUACCUAAUCAGAAAGCCACGGCUAACUACGUG
RNAcentral lists this ribosomal RNA (497 nucleotides) under uncultured bacterium. Its description in RNAcentral is "partial 16S ribosomal RNA". It matches the Rfam family "Bacterial small subunit ribosomal RNA", at positions 28 to 507 of the family's 1533-position model. The record is from RNAcentral.